AAAUGCAGCCAUAAUGCGUACUCAUACGCCCACAGAAGCUAAGCAGGGCUGCGCCUGGUCAGUAUCUGGCUGGGAGACCACAUGGGAAAGCUUUGUUGCUGCCAUAA
Ribosomal RNA from Danio rerio (zebrafish), 107 nucleotides. The record is from Ensembl. NCBI's taxonomy places the organism in Eukaryota, Metazoa, Chordata, Actinopteri, Cypriniformes, Danionidae.